This 669-nucleotide unclassified non-coding RNA is filed under the name Hevea brasiliensis (rubber tree). Lineage: Eukaryota; Viridiplantae; Streptophyta; Magnoliopsida; Malpighiales; Euphorbiaceae. The record is from RNAcentral.
CAUGGUAUAAGGCUGAAUAUGUUGAUGCGGUACCCAUGACAUCCAUGUCUCUAAGGCCAGUUGAUGAGUUUGGCUACCCUGGAAGGACAUACAAAUUCUUCAAUGGCUCAACAGUGUACCCAUUUGGCUAUGGACUAAGCUAUACGAAUUUCAGCUACAAGACAACACCCUCAAAGACUACGCUUAAGAUCAAAUUGAACAAGUACCAGCACUGCAACAACUUGAACUAUACCAAUUAUGAUGACAAGCCAUACUGCCCUGCUGUUUUGGUUGAGGACUUAAGUUGUGAACAUGAGUUCGGACUUGAGGCCACAGUUGAAAAUGCAGGGAAAAUGGAUGGAAGUGAAGUUGUAAUGGUCUACUCCAAGCCUCCAACGGCAAUUACUGGGACUCACGCCAAGCAAGUGAUUGGAUUUGAAAGGGUAUUUGUUCCAGCAGGAGGGAAAAAGAAUGUUAAGUUUACAUUUAAUGCUUGUAAGAGCUUAGCAAUUGUGGAUGGAAGAGGCAACAAAGUUUUGCCAUCUGGUUUGCACACAAUCAAGGUGGGAAAUGCUGAUGUCUCAUUUUUGGUUGAAGUGCAGUUUUAUCAGUAGUGGGUUAGCAUUUAUCUAAUUGGGGAUGGGCCUAGUAAUUAUUAGUUUAUUAUAUGUAUUAUGAGUUUAUUACAUG